GCUCAGUAACACGUGGAUAACCUACCCUUAGGACCGGGAUAACCUUGGGAAACUGAGGAUAAUACUAGAUAGGCAAUUAUUUCUGGAAUGAUUUUUUGUUUAAAUGUUUUUUCGCCUAAGGAUGAGUCUGCGGCCGAUUAGGUAGUUGGUUAGGUAAUGGCUUACCAAGCCGUUGAUCGGUACGGGUUGUGAGAGCAAGAGCCCGGAGAUGGAACCUGAGACAAGGUUCCAGGCCCUACGGGGUGCAGCAGGCGCGAAACCUCCGCAAUGUGAGAAAUCGCGACGGGGGGAUCCCAAGUGCCAUUCUUAACGGGAUGGCUUUUCAUUAGUGUAAAGAGCUUUUGGAAUAAGAGCUGGGCAAGACCGGUGCCAGCCGCCGCGGUAACACCGGCAGCUCUAGUGGUAGCAAUUUUUAUUGGGCCUAAAGCGUCCGUAGCCGGUUUAAUAAGUCUCUGGUGAAAUCCUGUAGCUUAACUGUGGGAAUUGCUGGAGAUACUAUUAGACUUGAGACCGGGAGAGGUUAGAGGUACUCCCAGGGUAGAGGUGAAAUUCUGUAAUCCUGGGAGGACCGCCUGUUGCGAAGGCGUCUAACUGGAACGGUUCUGACGGUGAGGGACGAAAGUUAGGGGCGCGAACCGGAUUAGAUACCCGGGUAGUCCUAACUGUAAACGAUGCGGACUUGGUGUUGGGGUGGCUUUGAGCUGUCCCAGUGCCGAAGGGAAGCUGUUAAGUCCGCCGCCUGGGAAGUACGGUCGCAAGACUGAAACUUAAAGGAAUUGGCGGGGGAGCAC
This 791-nucleotide ribosomal RNA is filed under the name uncultured archaeon. RNAcentral describes it as "bacterial SSU rRNA". It matches the Rfam family "Archaeal small subunit ribosomal RNA", at positions 88 to 879 of the family's 1478-position model. The record is from RNAcentral.